UACGUAGGAGACUAGCGUUGUCCGGAAUUACUGGGCGUAAAGCGCGUGUAGGCGGCAUACCAAGUCUGUUGUGAAAUCGCCCGGCUCAACUGGGCGGGGUCAAUGGAAACUGGUAAGCUGGAGGACGGUAGAGGCGAGUGGAAUUCCCGGUGUAGUGGUGAAAUGCGUAGAGAUCGGGAGGAACACCUGUGGCGAAGGCGGCUCGCUGGGCCGAUCCUGACGCUGAGGCACGAAAGCGUGGGGAGCAAACAGG
Molecule: ribosomal RNA, 253 nt
Filed under: uncultured bacterium
Lineage: Bacteria
Description: partial 16S ribosomal RNA
Rfam family: Bacterial small subunit ribosomal RNA
Source: RNAcentral